This 207-nucleotide long non-coding RNA is filed under the name Homo sapiens (human). Its description in RNAcentral is "HSALNT0023950". The record is from RNAcentral. Lineage: Eukaryota; Metazoa; Chordata; Mammalia; Primates; Hominidae.
CCAUCUUUGUGAUCAUGGAUCAUGGUAUCUCCCCUCCCAGGAAAAUACAUCAUAUCUUGCACUUGGGUGGAAAAGAGCAGAAAUCCUUGGUUAACAGGAUUAUACGCAAUGGUGCAGAAAGCAUUCUCUAAAGAAAAAUCAGAGAGGAAGAAACACUGCAUGGAGAAUCCAAGAAACACUCUAAGAAUUGAAGUUAAAAUGUCGGAG